GAAGCUGCCAUAAGUCCAACUCUUGCAAACUAAAACCAAAGAGCCAAAUUUUGAAAAAAAAAUCCCAUGAUCCCAGGGAUGAUUCCACUAUAUAGUUUAGGGCCCAACGGCCCUUAAAUCGGCCAGCGGCCCCAAAAAAAUGUUUGUCAAUAUAAAUUCCCAAUUCAGGAAAAUAAAACAAAAAUCGGUAUUUCCGGAAAAGUUUCCGUCACCGAUUACGGCAACUAUAAUUUUUCAUAGUUUGUCGUCAAAACAUAGUAAAAUUCGUAUAAAAAUGCUGACUAUGAUCGCAUUUUAUUAACAACGAUUUAGUUAUGUCAACAUGAGGUAAAUGAGCGGCCGGAUUCAAUUGAAGUUAAAAUGUUAUGAGAGUAUGUGGUCUCGUAAAA
RNAcentral lists this long non-coding RNA (389 nucleotides) under Mytilus galloprovincialis (Mediterranean mussel). The record is from RNAcentral. Lineage: Eukaryota; Metazoa; Mollusca; Bivalvia; Mytilida; Mytilidae.